Molecule: ribosomal RNA, 253 nt
Filed under: uncultured bacterium
Lineage: Bacteria
Description: partial 16S ribosomal RNA
Rfam family: Bacterial small subunit ribosomal RNA
Source: RNAcentral
UACGUAGGGUGCAAGCGUUGUCCGGAGUUACUGGGCGUAAAGCGCACGUAGGCGGAAUGUUAAGUCAGGGGUGAAAUCCCGGGGCUCAACCCCGGAACUGCCUUUGAUACUGGCAUUCUCGAGUCCGGAAGAGGUGAGUGGAAUUCCGAGUGUAGAGGUGAAAUUCGUAGAUAUUCGGAGGAACACCAGUGGCGAAGGCGGCUCACUGGUCCGGUACUGACGCUGAGGUGCGAAAGCGUGGGGAGCAAACAGG